CAAAUAGCUAUUAAAAGGCGGGAAUCUACAUAUCUCAUCUGAAAUUUAGAUGAUAUUUUUAUUUUUUCAGUUCUCUAUAAUUGAAUUUUCGGGUCAAUUUGAUGAAGGAUUAAUUGAAGUUUGAUCUUUUAAAAUUCCUUUAUAUAAUUUAAUGAUUGACUUUUAGCAAUUCAAUUGUGCAGGAGAAACGUUUGAUAUUAAUUUGUUAUUUUGAGGUGAUUAACCGAUAGCAUGUGCUUCAGGGCUUACUCUCAUAGCAGAAGGAAGAGUUGCUCUGUUAGUCUAUGAUGAUGCAAAAGUCAUUUUCCAAUGGUAAGAUGUCACCGGAGCUAUUCUCAGAUUCCAAAGCAUUAUAAGAGGCAAAGAAGUAGGAGCUUUAAAUCUUCUAGCUCAAAUCUUGUGACCAUAGAGCAGAAAAGCUGAAAAGUGCUAGUGACAUAUUAAUAGAAGAAGAGGAAGGAAAAGGGGGAUGAUGUAACCACAAUUCAUAUUGGAAGAAUGAAUGCAAGGAUCCCAAGUGGGUUCUCAGGUCUUGUGAAAUUCAAAACUCAUUUCAUGCUUUAAUUUUAGUAUUGAUGAAUGAUGAAUUCAGAUCAUUCAGUUUCAUGUACGCAAAUCCGUUUUUCUUACCUCCCUCAGUUAUAUGGAAAUUUUCCAAGCUGAGUAAUGUGCUGUUUUGUACAGCUCAUGCUACCUAAUAACAUCCAGAUAGAAAAUGCAAAGGAAAAUAAU
Molecule: long non-coding RNA, 732 nt
Organism: Gossypium arboreum
Lineage: Eukaryota; Viridiplantae; Streptophyta; Magnoliopsida; Malvales; Malvaceae
Exons: 3
Source: RefSeq, a predicted model, not a curated record